This 293-nucleotide long non-coding RNA is filed under the name Gossypium barbadense (sea-island cotton). RNAcentral describes it as "long non-coding RNA (GBAR_LNC001811)". The record is from RNAcentral. Lineage: Eukaryota; Viridiplantae; Streptophyta; Magnoliopsida; Malvales; Malvaceae.
UCACCUAGAUGGUGCCUACUAUAGUAUCCAUAGAUUUAAACUUGCUUGGCUCUAACAACCAGCUCAACUCUGGCUGCUAGCUCAAGCUGUAGAGGUUUAUCGAACCUGGCCCGUUUCGUGGGCUAUUAAGAGGAACUAGAAGGACCCGAAUCUCUUUUUUCUUAUUCUGAUUUUUCUCUCGUUCCCUCUUCUCACACUCAAUACCAUUAACUUCCUCACCUAUCUUUGUCUUAUCCACUAAGGCCGUAAAAACUCAUUCCCUCCAAUGAGCUAUUAAAACCUUAAGAUCAUAC